Gadus chalcogrammus (walleye pollock) is the source of this 307-nucleotide long non-coding RNA. RefSeq lists it as uncharacterized. The transcript has 4 exons. Lineage: Eukaryota; Metazoa; Chordata; Actinopteri; Gadiformes; Gadidae. The record is from RefSeq and is a predicted model, not a curated record.
CUGCAAGGACGGUCAUUGGACAUUAGUUGCCAUGUAUCCAAAAGAAGGACGGGCCGUUUUUAUUGACCCCUUCGGUGCCACCCCAGCAAAAAUAAAGAAAUGCAAAGAUUCAACGAGGGCUUUCAUGCGGAAAAGAAUGGGGAAUCUCUCAAGGUGGCUGUGCGCCACAAUUCCCCAUCCCCGCCAACAGGACCUUACCUCCUGUGGCGUUAUUGCUUGCAAAAUAGCGGAGCUGCUAUUAAGGGGAGAUCCAAUGGAGAUUGAUGUCACAGAGGAGGGCAUCAACUCCAUUCGAUCAGAAAUGGGC